AGGUGAUGUUUCCUAACCAUUAUCAAUGGAGACACUCGGCUGUACUGUGGGUGUGUAUAAGUACCACCUUAGACACACUUGUUGUCGAUAGUAUAGUGUGAGGGAGGGUUAGAUGCCCU
The sequence is a regulatory RNA element, 119 nucleotides long. It matches the Rfam family "epsC RNA". The record is from Rfam.